GGUAGCUGAGUUGGUAAAGCUCAUAUACAUAGCUGUUUAACCUAAGAUCGCUGGUUCGAUUCCAUCCUGAAGCA
Rhamnusium bicolor is the source of this 74-nucleotide non-coding RNA. NCBI's taxonomy places the organism in Eukaryota, Metazoa, Arthropoda, Insecta, Coleoptera, Cerambycidae. The record is from the annotation of a GenBank genome assembly.